This 259-nucleotide ribosomal RNA is filed under the name uncultured bacterium. RNAcentral describes it as "partial 16S ribosomal RNA". It matches the Rfam family "Bacterial small subunit ribosomal RNA", at positions 96 to 353 of the family's 1533-position model. The record is from RNAcentral.
CGGCGGACGGGUGAGUAACGCGUGGGUAACCUGCCUCAUACAGGGGGAUAACAGUUAGAAAUGACUGCUAAUACCGCAUAAGACCACAGCACCGCAUGGUGCAGGGGUAAAAACUCCGGUGGUAUGAGGUGGACCCGCGUCUGAUUAGUUAGUUGGUGGGGUAACGGCCUACCAAGGCGACGAUCAGUAGCCGGACUGAGAGGUUGACCGGCCACAUUGGGACUGAGACACGGCCCAGACUCCUACGGGAGGCAGCAUG